This 1637-nucleotide ribosomal RNA is filed under the name Schmidtea mediterranea. RNAcentral describes it as "eukaryotic LSU rRNA". The stretch from base 513 to 1344 matches the Rfam family "Eukaryotic large subunit ribosomal RNA", at positions 1891 to 3399 of the family's 3401-position model. The record is from RNAcentral. Lineage: Eukaryota; Metazoa; Platyhelminthes; Tricladida; Dugesiidae.
UCUUUUGAGAGUGUUCCAAGGUUACGAUAACCAAUGUAUGAAAUGCGAUUUUUAUAUCUCAUCUCCAAUUUGAAACUGUUAUCCUCAAAUUUCAAUUUGAUGUAUAUUUCGAAUUUUCGUUUGAGAGCAUAUACAGAUUUCUGGAAUUUCACAAAGAAAGAGGCGUUUUUGAAAGGCUUGUCAAUCUCGCAGUUGAUCCACUUAAGCGCAGCCUCAAAGUUCUCUUCUCCUCUAGCAUGUGCGAGUUCUUUCUUCAUCAUCUCUCUGAAGUCAGUGUUGUAUGAAUGAAAAAGUCUCGUUAUUCCAGUAACGCUCUGUAUCAAAUAUUCAUCUAUGGACGAGGAUAUUCCAAGUCCUCCCAAUUUACAAUGGGUAUAAAGAAAGUAAUUAUUCAGAGCAUGAAAUUUAUCCCCAACCAUUGUCUUCAGAAGCGCCUUAAUCUUUUGGUCAUAACCGAGCUGUUUCUCUCUUCCCUGCGUAAUCCGAUUUCUGUCACAAUCAAGAAUUCUGUGUCCAAUAAUACAGUUGCGAAAUGAAAAAAUGAGUUUUGAAUGUAUGAAAGUUUUGUAGGCAUUUAGCUUCUGUGCGGGAUGUAAAUAUGACUUAAACAGGGUGUUAGUCAGUGCAAGUGCCGAUUGAAGUCUUCUGCCCAGUGCUAUGAAUGUCAAUGUGAAGAAAUUCAACUAAGCUCUGGUUAACGGCGGGAGUAACUAUGACUCUCUUAAGGUAGCCAAAUGCCUCGUCAUCUAAUUAGUGACGUGCAUGAAUGGAUUAACGAGAUUCCUACUGUCCCUAUCUACUAUCUAGCGAAACUACAGCCAAGGGAACGGGCUUGGAAAAUAUAGCGGGGAAAGAAGACCCUGUUGAGCUUGACUCUAGUCCGACUUUGUAGGAGAACUUUAGAGGUGUAGCAUAAGUGGGAGACUUCGGUCGACAGUGAAAUACCACUACUCUGAUUGUUUUUCUACUUACUCAAUGAAGCAGUAUAAUUAACUUUUGUUAAUUUUUUUUAGUGAAAAAAUUGCGAUCUUCGGAUGCAAUUGAACUGUUUUGAGGACAGUGUCAGGUGGGGAGUUUGACUGGGGCGGUACAUCUGUCAAAUGGUAACGCAGAUGUCCCAAGGGAAGCUCAACUAGGACAGAAACCUGGUGUUGACUAAAAGGGGAAAAGCUUCCUUGAUCUUGAUUUUCAGUACGAAUACAGACCGUGAAAGCGCGGCCUAUCGAUCCUUUUGAUUUUUACAGAGUUUGUAGCAAGAGGUGUCAGAAAGACAAAUUCAUUAUUGUGUGGGAGCAAAUUUAUGUUGGAAGAUUGGGCUGGUAGGCUUACCAUCACCAAUCAUAGGUUAUAAGUGUUGUAUCAAAUGUCUGUGUGUAGAUAGGUUUGGCUACUAGCCUCUCCUAUCUGGAAAAGUAGCUUGGUAUACCAUGUGAGUCCUGUGUGAAGGUGUUUGAUUUGUGAGGCCUGGUGAGCACCAUUAUGUGGUGCUUCACGGACAUUCCGGUUAGGGUUCUGUCCGCUGGAUAAAUUGAUAUUGGCCAUGUAUCAAUUUAUUGCCUGUCUAAGUAUUAACUAAUAAGCAGUUUUUCGUGCCAUUAGUAUAAUUGGAACUUGUUACCCCUAUCAACUUAGUGGUU